RNAcentral lists this ribosomal RNA (721 nucleotides) under Phymaturus aguedae. RNAcentral describes it as "partial 12S ribosomal RNA". It matches the Rfam family "Bacterial small subunit ribosomal RNA", at positions 271 to 1358 of the family's 1533-position model. The record is from RNAcentral. Lineage: Eukaryota; Metazoa; Chordata; Lepidosauria; Squamata.
UUACACUUAAAAGGAGCAGGUAUCAGGCACGACCUGUCAGCCCAAAACACCUUGCUACGCCACACCCACAUGGGUACUCAGCAGUAAUUGAUAUUAAGCAAUGAGUAAAAGCCACCUUAAGCUCGACUUAGUUAUGAUCACUAGGGCCGGUUAACCUCGUGCCAGCCACCGCGGUUAUACGAAGGGCCCAAAACAGCAGACACCGGCGUAAAUUGUGACUAGAGACACCACCUUAAACAGGAAGAAAUAAACCACACCCUAACCGUAAAACAUAGGCUAAAUGAAACCCUCCACUCUUCUUACACAAGGUUGCUUGAACCCACGAAAACUAAGAAACAAACUAGGAUUAGACACCCUACUAUGCUUAGACGUAAACAAGACACUACACAACUAAAGUGUCCGCCAGAGAAUUACAAGCGAAAAGCUUAAAACUCAAAGGACUUGGCGGUGCUCCGUACUCAACUUAGAGGAGCCUGUCCUAUAAUCGAUACUCCACGAUAAACCCUACCAUCUUUUGCCAACCCAGCCUAUAUACCGCCGUCGAAAACUUACCCCCUGAGGGAUAAAAAGUAAGUAAAAUAGUUAAUCACUAACACGUCAGGUCAAGGUGUAGCUUACAAGAUGGCAGAGAUGGGCUACAUUUUCUAACAAGAACACACGGCAAUGGGCCAUGAAAUACCCCCACGAAGGCGGAUUUAACAGUAAGAUAAUUAAGAAAAAU